UAAACUAGGAUUAGAUACCCUAUUAUUAAAAAAUUAAAUAUAUAAUACUAAAAUAGUAAAUAAUUUAUUGAAACUUAAAUAAAUUGGCGGUAUUUUAGUUCAUUCAGAGGAAUCUGUUUAUUAAUUGAUAGUCCACGAAUAAAUUUACUUAAUUUAUUAUUUUGUAUAUCGUUGUUAAAAAAAUAUUUUUUAAUAAAAAUAAUAUUUAAAAAUUUUAAAAUAAAAUUAAAUCAGAUCAAGAUGCAGAUUAUAAUUAAGAAUAUAAUGGAUUACAAUAAAUUUAUUUAUUAAUGAAUAUUAAAUUGAAAUAUUUAAUUGAAGGUGGAUUUGAAUGUAAUUUUAUUUAAAUUAAUAAAAUGAUUAAUAAUUAAAAUAUGUACAUA
Molecule: ribosomal RNA, 383 nt
Filed under: Antheraea assamensis (Indian muga silkmoth)
Lineage: Eukaryota; Metazoa; Arthropoda; Insecta; Lepidoptera; Saturniidae
Description: partial 12S ribosomal RNA
Source: RNAcentral